GUGUAACAUGAUUGGUGAUAUGUCCACUCUAGUGUCAUUGACAGAUUUGCUGGCCUACUUGUAUGUUGGGCUUGAUUUCUCAGGCUUCCGGCUAUAAUAUGUCCUAGCCUUGUUGCUUUUCUUCACAAGGUAUCUUUAACAGGUGAAAAGAUGUGCGGAGAUGUCAAGAAAGCUGCGAUUUUUCAAAGAUCAGAUUCAUAAAGCUGGCCUGCUGCCAUCUCCACAUCCUGCUUCACAACCAGAUAUUGAAUUAGAAGAAUUGGAGGUUCCAUUUUGUCGUAGUUACCCCAGUCAACUUACAGAUACUUAGUUUAUUUAUUUUAUUUUAUUUUAUUUUUUUGCUUAACACUUGGCUUUUCUAAUAUAUUCAUGUCAGUGCUACUGUUGUUUUACUUUUUCUAGAUGCAACUCGCAGAGCAUGAACAUGAGCUAAUUGAAAUGAAUAGCAACACUGAGAAAUUGCAGCAAACUUAUAAUGAGUUGCUAGAGUUCAAAAUGGUGUUGCAAAAGGUAUACUGAUUUUUUUAUUUGCAGAUAGUUCAACUUUGGCUAUCAUAUGCUGGCUAACACGUGUGUUACAUUGUACUCAUGUUAAAUAAUUUUGCCCAUCAGUGCUAUUCAAACUGUAGUUUGCUUGAAAAAGUUAUAGAUGAAAGCUUUAUAUCAAGAUAAUCUGGUUAUUUAUUCUCUGCAAAGCUAAAAUAGUAGGCCUCAUGACACUUACCUAUGCAUGGGGUAAGGUUCUUAUGUGGGCGUGACCCUUGCAAUAUCAUUAUAUUUUCUGAAAUGUAUUGAGAGUCUAGUUGACCUGGAUUAUGAUAAUCUUUCUUUCCUUAUUACAACUAUACUAUUAAGUUCCAUGUGGAAUUAUUCUAGUUGUAGAAGUAUAUGUAUUUAAUUUCUUGAAUUUUCUUCAUUCUGAUGUAAUACAAAUUUGGUCCAUUGGGAGCAAUAAUCUGAUGUUUCUAUUGUUUAAUGGUGCAAUUUAGGCCAGUGACUUUCUUGUCUCAAGUAGGAGUAACUCAACUGUGCAAGAAAGAGAAAUGGUUGAGAAUGUGUAUUCGAAUGAUCAUUAUGCUGACACAGCUUCACUGCUUGAGCAGGUGACUGAUUUUAAAUGCUUUCAAAUACUAUCCUAUAGGAAAACCCAUGUUGACAGUUAUGUUGAUUAGUUUUCUAUUUGGAUUUGUCAGGAGAUGCAACCUGGUCCCUCAGUUCAAUCUGGCGUGCGAUUUGUUAGUGGUAUUAUUUGUAAAUCCAAAGUUCUCACAUUUGAGAGGAUGCUAUUUCGGGCUACAAGGGGCAAUAUGUUUUUCAAUCAGGCUGCUGCGGAUGAUCAAAUUUUGGAUCCUUCGUCAAAUGAAAUGGUCAAGCCUUAUUUCCUUUGUAUCCUUUGAACUUUGUGUCGUCUAAUUAACUAGAGGUGGGAAAUAGGAAGGAAAAGUACCAACUGAAUGCAGUAGCUAUUGUAGUAAAAAAAUUUUUCUCUGUUUCCUACAUGGCAUUGAUUGUGGUUUUUGGUUUGAAGAUCUAUGCCUUUCUUUCUGUCUUCUUCCAUUCCUACUUGGUGGAAUCACUACUAACAGUUGCGAUUGAAUGAGUUUUUAAUUUGUUUUUGCUUCCUUGCUUUUGCAGGUUGAGAAAACAGUAUUUGUAGUGUUCUUCUCAGGCGAGCAAGCAAGAACAAAAAUAUUAAAAAUAUGUGAAGCAUUUGGGGCCAAUUGCUACCCUGUCCCAGAAGAUGUAACAAAAAGGAUGCAGAUAACACGAGAAGUAUGUCUUGAAAUUGAUCAUUUAUGUAUUCUCUGACUUGUAAUGAGAAUGAAUUAGAUAUUGUCACUUAAGUUGACUUUUGUCUAGCUUAUGUGAGUUUUACCUUUUACAUAACUAGGAAACUGUGGCAAUUGUUUUUCUUUUCUGAUGCGCAAUGCAUACUUCUCGUCUUCGUAUGCAUUGUCCUGAUUUUUUACCAAAAUUUUCUUAAAAUAUAUCUAAAAUGAAAAACCGCUGUUAUUUAGUUUGUAAGGUUGGUGCAAGGUGGACUAUUAUUGAUGUAGGCUUAAAUAUGUAAGUGACCAUUUCCCCAAGAAGUGAGCAGUUCUUUAGAAUAAACGGUUUAUGUUCUGGCUUUGAUUUCAUUCUUCUUUGCUACAAUGGCUUUACCAUCCAGUAUAUGGAUUAGUUGCAGUCCUUGUGUAAGUUACAGCAAUAGCAAUCGCAUGAUUGCCUAAUGUUUUGCAGGUUUCAUCUCGUCUAUCUGAAUUAGAAACCACCUUGGAUGCUGGAACACGUCAUCGGGACAAGGCUUUGACCUCAAUUGGUUUCCAGCUUGCGAAAUGGAUGAAUAUGGUAAAUUUGUUAUAUCAAUUACUGCUACACUUUUGGAGCUUGGUUGUUCACGAUUGGUUCAGUGAUGCUAUUUUUACACGAUUGCUGAGUUAAGGUUUUCUAAUAUUUCUUCUCUAGGUUGGAAGGGAAAAAGCUGUGUAUGACACUUUAAAUAUGUUGAAUUUUGAUGUUACGAAGAAGUGUCUGGUUGGUGAAGGAUGGUGCCCAAUAUUUGCAAAGGCAAAGGUGCUUUGCUAUAAUUUCUACUUGUUCUUGCCAUUGUAAGAAUUUGUCACUUGCUACGAUAUUUCUCAUAUUAAUUCCAUGAGGGAACCUUUUCUUUUUGGUUGGGGUAAUAGAUACAAGAGGCUUUGCAACGAGCAACAUUUGACAGCAAUUCACAAGUUGGCAUUAUAUUUCAUGUGAUGGAUGCUGUGGAACCACCUCCAACAUAUUUCAGAACCAAUCGUUUCACAAGUGCAUUUCAAGAAAUUGUUGAUGCAUACGGGUAAGAUGCAAUACAGAUGUAAUUAUUGAGCUUUAAUUCCUUCCCCCAUCCCACCUGUUCUUUGUCUAUGCAGAUUGUGACAAGGAUUAGAGGAUUUCUGCAUCCAAAGCUCUUCCCUCUCCCUCUUUUUCUGUCUUUAUUUUUUUGUCUGGUUGGGUCAUAUAUGUAUAUAAACCAGCACAUGACACAGAGCACUGGUGGGAGAAGUUUUGUCUGGUUGGUAUAUAAUAUAUGAAUGCAUACAAAGCUGAUAGAGUGCUAACAAGUAAUCUGUUUUGGACAGUGUUGCUAACUAUCAGGAGGCAAAUCCUGCUGUUUAUACCGUUGUUACAUUUCCUUUUCUUUUUGCUGUGAUGUUUGGUGAUUGGGGUCAUGGAAUAUGUUUGCUGUUGGGAGCAUUAGUUCUCAUAGCCCGCGAAAGAAAGCUAGGUUCUCAGGUAUCUUAUCUCUUCUUGAUCUUUUUCUCUUCAUGAUAGAUCAUUAGCUGUUAACUAAGCCAAAUUCUUGUUUGCUUUAUAUUUUGAGAACUUUGACUACUCAUAUACCCUGAUUAAAUCAGUUUUCUUAUUCUAGAGAUGCUAUAGAGGGUGGUUACUAGAAGAAGCUGUUUUUAUCGGCUGUUGCACUGUUAAAGAAGAAAUAAAAUUUGAAGGAAAAAUUACAAACAGAAGCUAAUUCUGUUCUGAUCAUAAGUGUUAGUAAAGAAUGCUGAACUUGUUGAAAAAGCAGCAGAAACUUCUUGUUAAAUUGAGAGUUAAAUGCGUUUUAAUUUUCUUGAUCAUGAUCAGUGGCUGAACUUUCCUGAAAUCUAAUGUUGCAUUUGUAAUCUUAUAUACAUUAUUAUUUACAUGCAACUUUUAUGUUCUCAUCAUAGUUUUUGUUUCCCAUCAGAAACUUGGUAGCUUUAUGGAGAUGCUGUUUGGUGGCCGCUAUGUCCUCCUGUUGAUGUCAAUAUUUUCUAUAUACUGUGGGUUGAUCUACAAUGAAUUUUUUUCUGUUCCUUUUCACAUUUUUGGGGAGUCUGCCUACAAAUGCCGAGAUUCUUCCUGCAGGUAGAUAUGCUUGCUGUAGUCUUAAGUUGAUGAAAAGUAAUUUGUUUGUUCCAGCUUGGUGAUCCAUAAGAUUUCUACAUAUGUUCAACAUGCAGAAAUCCCAUAGAUCAACAAGUUGGAACAAACAAAUUACUUUUCAGCAUGUUGUAUGUUUUUGAUUAAUUUUCCUUUGUAUUGACAUUAUUUAUCUGCCUUGGCAGUGAUGCCCGUUCAAUAGGUUUAAUAAAAUCUCGGGAUCCUUAUCCAUUUGGAGUGGAUCCAAGCUGGAGAGGAAGUCGCACAGAACUGCCUUUCUUAAACUCUCUUAAGAUGAAGUUGUCAAUUUUGUUGGGUGUGGUCCAGAUGAAUCUAGGAAUUAUAUUAAGUUACUUCAAUGCACGCUUUUUGGAAAUUCACUUGAUAUCAAGUAUGUAAUCUUUCCACAUCGUUUCUAUUAUUUGUUCUGCACUGUUUAAUAACAGGUAAAAGAGCUUAUUUCGUGCUUUUAGGUACCAGUUUGUGCCACAUAUGAUCUUGCUUAAUUCCCUCUUUGGGUAAAAGAGCUUAUUUUGUGUUUUUAGGUACCAGUUUGUGCCACAGAUGAUCUUCCUUAAUUGCCUCUUUGGGUAUCUGUCUCUUCUGAUUGUUAUCAAAUGGUGCUCUGGUUCUCAAGCCGACCUCUAUCAUGUAAUGAUUUACAUGUUCUUGAGUCCUUUUGAGGAUCUUGGUGAGAACAAGUUGUUCUGGGCGCAGGGUGUACUUCAGGCACAAUCUCUAAUUUUCUCUAUAGUUGAUUAUUUUAUUAUUAAAUACCACUGUUUUCCAUCUUUGUUAAUCAAAUUUUAAUUUUGCAGGUCAUAUUAUUGCUUUGUGCUGUAGUUGCUGUUCCUUGGAUGCUGUUUCCCAAGCCUUUUAUUUUGAAAAGACUUCACACUGAGGUACUAUGUCUGCUUAACCUUUGUGAGAGAAGAGAGAGUAGAGGUCCUUGCAUUUAAGUUUCUGUGGCCAUGUUGAAAUUUUUGUUUCUGGUAUUCUCCUUCCACAUGCUCAUUCUCUGAAAACCAAGUAAAAGGGCUUCACAUUUCCAUGCAAAGAUUAGAUGGUCUAUAAUGUUCCUUAAUUAUUUGUUAUUAAAUGGUCUAAAAUAAUACUUAGAUAUUUGUUUCAGAUUGUAUCUCAGAUCUGUUCUGGCAAGAGUCUCUCUCUCUCUCUAUCUCGUAGUCUUAAUAUGUAUUCUUGCUUUGCAUUCUUAGAGAUUUCAAGGCCGCACAUAUGGGUUACUUGGAACCUCUGAUAUGAACAUUGAUGAUGAACCUGACUCCGCGAGGCAACACCAAGAAGAUUUUAAUUUUAGUGAGGAAUUCGUGCAUCAGAUGAUACACUCUAUUGAGUUUGUACUUGGUGCAGUUUCGAAUACUGCAUCAUACCUUAGGCUAUGGGCCCUGAGGUAUAUUUGCUUUUCGAUUGAUAUAUUGAGAUAUCUAUACUGUGCUCAUUUUAAGAUUUUCAUUUGCUGGUACUGUUAACAGUUUGGCUCACUCCGAGUUGUCAACUGUUUUCUAUGAGAAAGUUCUGCUUCUUGCCUGGGGGUAAGUUUUUACAACCAAUUUAAUGAGACUUAUUUCUUUAGAUGUGUACUGAACAAAGUUACUGCUUAGUAACUGCUUUAUUUAAAUUUUCUUUGUAUAGAUCAGAGGUUGAAAUGAAACUUUUAGUUACAUGUCUACCUGUUGAUAUAUAUAUAUAUAUUUUCAUGUUGACUUGCACUUAAGAGUUUAAUCUCCUUUCUGUUAUCUGCAGGAUAUAAAUCUUCUAUGUGAUUGACAUAUAUCCAACCUGUUUGAUUUCUUGAAUCAUGCAUGUUGCAGGUAUGAAAAUAUCAUCAUACGAUUGGUGGGACUAGCAGUUUUUGCUUUUGCUACAGCAUUUAUAUUGCUCAUGAUGGAGACCCUUAGUGCUUUCCUUCACGCUUUGCGUCUCCACUGGGUAGAAUUCCAGAACAAGUUUUAUCAUGGUGACGGGUAUAAGUUCAGGCCGUUCUCCUUUGCCUCGUUAACUGACGAUGACGACUAGGAUGUCAAUUUUGCACCAAUAUUUGUUGAAUGAUUUCGGAAAGAAGCAAUGCAAGGAAGAGUUGUGCCUUAAAUCUCACUUUACAAGCGUGGAUUAAUUGGGAUGGCUAGAACUACGCACUUCUUUGCUCUAACAUGAUGCUGCUUGGAUUAACCGAAAAUUGUAAAAUCUUGGUUCAGAACCUUUAGGCAUAAUUGGUGUAAAGGAGUCAGCUCAAGGUGCUUGUAAGGCUGUUGGGCUAAAGAUUUUGUAAUUUUGUCUCCGUAGAUUCUUUGCUCUUCUCUAGAUGUUCCAGAUAUAGAGAGAGGUGUUAGAAAUACCAAAGCUCGGAUCCUGUACACUGGAUAUCCAUGGUGAUAAUUCCUUGUGGAGGCAAAGAUCCAGAAUCUCCUUAUACAAUUACACACACAAACAUAGAGAGAGAGAUUGUACCUGGUGCCGUGGAUUUUUGCAGGCCACCCGUCUAUUCUUUUUGUAAUGAUGUAGCAUGUUCUUACAGCACUUGAAAAAGAUGCUUGUGCUAUAGAAAGUCGGAUUGCACGUUCUUAAUGGUAGAUAGAUAUCCGUCACUCAUGCUUUAUACCAAUACUAUCUUUGAAUGGAUCCGUACUC
This 6552-nucleotide long non-coding RNA is filed under the name Coffea arabica (coffee). RNAcentral's name for it is "long non-coding RNA (CARA_LNC000321)". The record is from RNAcentral. Lineage: Eukaryota; Viridiplantae; Streptophyta; Magnoliopsida; Gentianales; Rubiaceae.